Molecule: ribosomal RNA, 424 nt
Filed under: uncultured prokaryote
Description: bacterial SSU rRNA
Rfam family: Bacterial small subunit ribosomal RNA
Source: RNAcentral
UGGGGAAUAUUGGACAAUGGGCGCAAGCCUGAUCCAGCCAUGCCGCGUGAGUGAUGAAGGCCUUAGGGUUGUAAAGCUCUUUCAACGGUGAAGAUAAUGACGGUAACCGUAGAAGAAGCCCCGGCUAACUUCGUGCCAGCAGCCGCGGUAAUACGAAGGGGGCUAGCGUUGUUCGGAAUUACUGGGCGUAAAGCGCGCGUAGGCGGAUUGAUCAGUUAGGGGUGAAAUCCCAGGGCUCAACCCUGGAACUGCCUCUAAUACUGUCAGUCUAGAGUUCGAGAGAGGUGAGUGGAAUUCCGAGUGUAGAGGUGAAAUUCGUAGAUAUUCGGAGGAACACCAGUGGCGAAGGCGGCUCACUGGCUCGAUACUGACGCUGAGGUGCGAAAGUGUGGGGAGCAAACAGGAUUAGAUACCCCCGUAGUCC